GACGAACGCUGGCGGCGUGCUUAACACAUGCAAGUCGAACGGAAAGGCCCUGCUUUUGUGGGGUGCUCGAGUGGCGAACGGGUGAGUAACACGUGAGUAACCUGCCCUUGACUUUGGGAUAACUUCAGGAAACUGGGGCUAAUACCGGAUAGGAGCUCCUGCUGCAUGGUGGGGGUUGGAAAGUUUCGGCGGUUGGGGAUGGACUCGCGGCUUAUCAGCUUGUUGGUGGGGUAGUGGCUUACCAAGGCUUUGACGGGUAGCCGGCCUGAGAGGGUGACCGGCCACAUUGGGACUGAGGUACGGCCCAGACUCCUACGGGCGGCAGCAGUGGGGAAUCUUGCGCAAUGGGCGGAAGCCUGAUGCAGCAACGCCGCGUGCGGGAUGACGGCCUUCGGGUUGUAAACCGCUUUCGCCUGUGACGAAGCGUGAGUGACGGUAAUGGGUAAAGAAGCACCGGCUAACUACGUG
This 468-nucleotide ribosomal RNA is filed under the name uncultured bacterium. RNAcentral's name for it is "partial 16S ribosomal RNA". It matches the Rfam family "Bacterial small subunit ribosomal RNA", at positions 28 to 507 of the family's 1533-position model. The record is from RNAcentral.